Molecule: unclassified non-coding RNA, 355 nt
Filed under: soil metagenome
Description: partial contains 5.8S ribosomal RNA, internal transcribed spacer 2, and large subunit ribosomal RNA
Rfam family: 5.8S ribosomal RNA (bases 1-120)
Source: RNAcentral
GAUGAAGAACGCAGUGAAAUGCGAUAAGUAGUGUGAAUUGCAGAAUUCAGUGAAUCAUCGAAUCUUUGAACGCACAUUGCGCCUUCUAGUAUUCUGGGAGGCAUGCCUGUUUGAGCGUCAUUAAACCUCUCUCAAGUAUGAUUACUUGGAUGUGAAGGAAGAGUAUCUUAAACUUAAGGAGUGUUCUCCUUUGAAAUUGAUUAGCAGAUGGUAAUGUUAUUAAAUCCCUGAUGUUGUAAGAAAUAACAGUGGUUUUGUAGACUAUUAUCUAGCUUUAAAUUAUAAUUUUUAUUAUGGUUGACCUCAAAUCAGGUAAGGAUACCCGCUGAACUUAAGCAUAUCAAUAAGCGGAGGA